This 253-nucleotide ribosomal RNA is filed under the name uncultured bacterium. Its description in RNAcentral is "partial 16S ribosomal RNA". It matches the Rfam family "Bacterial small subunit ribosomal RNA", at positions 524 to 776 of the family's 1533-position model. The record is from RNAcentral.
UACAGAGGGUGCGAGCGUUAAUCGGAAUUACUGGGCGUAAAGCGCGCGUAGGCGGCUUUUCAAGUCGGUUGUGAAAUCCCCGGGCUUAACCUGGGAACUGCAGUCGAGACUGUCUAGCUAGAGUAUGGGAGAGGGAAGUGGAAUUUCAGGUGUAGCGGUGAAAUGCGUAGAUAUCUGAAGGAACAUCAGUGGCGAAAGCGACUUCCUGGACCAAUACUGACGCUCAUGUGCGAAAGCGUGGGGAGCAAACAGG